Molecule: ribosomal RNA, 403 nt
Filed under: uncultured bacterium
Lineage: Bacteria
Description: bacterial SSU rRNA
Rfam family: Bacterial small subunit ribosomal RNA
Source: RNAcentral
UAUUGGACAAUGGGCGAAAGCCUGAUCAAGCAAUACCGCGUGUGUGAAGAAGGCCUUAGGGUUGUAAAGCACUUUCAAUUGGGAGGAAAACCUGCCGGUCAAUACCCGGUAGCUUAACAUUACCUUUAGAAGAAGCACCGGCUAACUCCGUGCCAGCAGCCGCGGUAAUACGGAGGGUGCGAGCGUUAAUCGGAAUUACUGGGCGUAAAGCGUGCGUAGGCGGUUCGUUAAGUCAGAUGUGAAAGCCCUGGGCUCAACCUGGGAACUGCAUUUGAAACUGGCGGACUAGAGUUUAGUAGAGGGGAGUGGAAUUUCAGGUGUAGCGGUGAAAUGCGUAGAUAUCUGAAGGAACACCAGUGGCGAAGGCGACUCCCUGGACUAGAACUGACGCUGAGGUACGAAA